This is a non-coding RNA of Crenichthys baileyi (White River springfish), 120 nucleotides long. Lineage: Eukaryota; Metazoa; Chordata; Actinopteri; Cyprinodontiformes; Goodeidae. The record is from the annotation of a GenBank genome assembly.
GGCUGUACGGUGGCGCAGUUGGUAGAACUGUUGCCUUGCAACGGCUGUGCGAUGGCGCAGUUGGUAGAACUGUUGCCUUGCAGCAAGAAGGUCCUGGGUUCGAUUCCCAGCCGGGGGUCU